GUCGUGGAGCUGCUGCACCGCCAAGUCGGCCGACAGCGUCUGACAGGAGCACAGAGGAGGUGCUGUGAGGAGCGGAGACGAGCUUCCAUCUAGCUCUUUGUUUGUUGGUUAGCAGGAGGAAGAGGAGCAGGAGGAGUAGGAAGAAGAGGAAGAUGUGGAGAAUAAGGAGGACGAGAAGGAGCCGGAGGAAGAGGAAGAAUAUCUGGAGGAUGAGAUGAUUGCUUCAUGAUUCUCAUCAUCAUCACGCUCAGCCAAACUAACAUCUAACUGCGUAGAUGUUUUCUGAUCUAUACUUACAGGGAAAACAUCAGGAUCGUCAUUGCACAUCUGCAGGAACCUCUCGGGGCGGGCCGACGAGUGCUCCGGACCCUGAGGCGGACAGACAGAACCGCGGUUAUCACUCAUCUGACUGGUUGUGGCGUCGGGGUGAAAGGACCCGCCUCUCCGUGCCCACCAUGCCCUCCAGGCCGUGAGGCAGCAGCAGCACGAUGCCGUUCUGCCGGACCCACUUGGCCUGACCGCAGCUGAUGAACUGGUCGAUGACGCACUGGGCCGUGUUGUGGAAGUCUCCGAACUGGGCCUCCCACAGCACCAGCGCGUUGGGACUGGCCAUGGCGAAGCCCAGCUCAAAACCUGCAGGCGAGAGCGGCGUCAGCGGCGGCCAACAAAUAUCGCCAUCUUAACUUCCUGCUAAUCUCUGUGCGGCUUUAUCGUGCCUCCCUUUAAUAAAUAUAUUGUACCCAACUUCAACAGUCGGGAUCAUAAUCACCAUUAUAA
Gasterosteus aculeatus aculeatus (three-spined stickleback) is the source of this 777-nucleotide non-coding RNA. NCBI's taxonomy places the organism in Eukaryota, Metazoa, Chordata, Actinopteri, Perciformes, Gasterosteidae. The record is from RefSeq and is a predicted model, not a curated record.